Molecule: long non-coding RNA, 451 nt
Organism: Rhineura floridana
Lineage: Eukaryota; Metazoa; Chordata; Lepidosauria; Squamata; Rhineuridae
Exons: 3
Source: RefSeq, a predicted model, not a curated record
GCCCACCUGGGCUGACUGCUUGUCAGGCCUACCAAGAAGGCCCCUGCUCUAUCUGCUAAGAGGUUUAUCCAGCACAGCCAGUAGAGCUAAUGGAGGAGUCAGGCCUGCUUCAAGAACAGCCCAAAUGGUAGCCUUAGCCUGGUUCUGAGCAUACUUAGAGCUAUUUCCCUGAAGGCCACAUCUCCUCAUUGGUAACCGGAGAAGCAAUGGAGUGUUUCCUACUUUGAGGAACUUUUUUGUUUAGUAUUUGUGUGUGUGUGUGUGACCUUGCUAGAGAGAGAGGACACACUCUGGACCAUCUGAAUGGAGCUUGCAGGCCACUGUUUGGGAACCCCUGAUUAAAAAAACAAACCUAGGAAUUGCACCUUCAGGAUGAUGGAUGAGAAGCCUAAGUCAGGACUAGACUAAAAAUAAAAAUAAAAAAUGGACUGCCUUCAAGUCGAUCCCGAAC